Molecule: long non-coding RNA, 116 nt
Organism: Sander lucioperca (pikeperch)
Lineage: Eukaryota; Metazoa; Chordata; Actinopteri; Perciformes; Percidae
Exons: 3
Source: RefSeq, a predicted model, not a curated record
AAUAUGUCAUGCUUGAGAGCCCUAAAGGAUUUUUGACAACCUCUGGUCCAUCUGGUUUUAUUUUCUAUAAAAGCUUGUAAAACAUCAACCCUGUUGUCCACAGUCAAUCUAUGAAC